Molecule: ribosomal RNA, 464 nt
Filed under: uncultured bacterium
Lineage: Bacteria
Description: partial 16S ribosomal RNA
Rfam family: Bacterial small subunit ribosomal RNA
Source: RNAcentral
CUACGGGGCGCUCCAGUGGGGAAUAUUGCACAAUGGGCGCAAGCCUGAUGCUGCCAUGCCGCGUGUAUGAAGAAGGCCUUCGGGUUGUAAAGUACUUUCAGCGGGGAGGAAGGGAGUAAAGUUAAUACCUUUGCUCAUUGACGUUACCCGCAGAAGAAGCACCGGCUAACUCCGUGCCAGCAGCCGCGGUAAUACGGAGGGUGCAAGCGUUAAUCGGAAUUACUGGGCGUAAAGCGCACGCAGGCGGUUUGUUAAGUCAGAUGUGAAAUCCCCGGGCUCAACCUGGGAACUGCAUCUGAUACUGGCAAGCUUGAGUCUCGUAGAGGGGGGUAGAAUUCCAGGUGUAGCGGUGAAAUGCGUAGAGAUCUAGAGGAAUACCGGUGGCGAAGGCGGCCCCCUGGACGAAGACUGACGCUCAGGUGCGAAAGCGUGGGGAGCAAACAGGAUUAGAUACCCGUGUAGUC